RNAcentral lists this ribosomal RNA (742 nucleotides) under uncultured archaeon. RNAcentral describes it as "bacterial SSU rRNA". It matches the Rfam family "Archaeal small subunit ribosomal RNA", at positions 186 to 928 of the family's 1478-position model. The record is from RNAcentral.
CAUACAUGUUUGAUAUACGCCUAAGGAUGGGGUGCGGCCGAUCAGGCUGUUGGUGAGGUAAUGGCUCACCAAACCUUUGACCGGUAUGGGCCAUGAGAGUGGUAGCCCAGAGAUGGACACUGAGACAAGGGUCCAGGCCCUACGGGGCGCAGCAGGCGCGAAACCUCCUCAAUGCACUAACGUGCGAAGGGGUUACCUCGAGUGCCAUCUGAAAAAGGUGGCUUUUCCUUGGUCUAAAAAGCCUCGGGAAUAAGAGGGGGGCAAGACUGGUGUCAGCCGCCGCGGUAACACCAGCCCCUCGAGUGGUGGGGAUGAUUAUUUGGCCUAAAGCGUCCGUAGCCGGCCGGGUAAGUUUCCCGUUAAAUCCAACGUCUCAAGCGUUGGACUGCGGGAAAUACUGCCUGGCUAGAGAGUGGGAGAGGUCAGCGGUAUUCUGGGGGUAGGGGCGAAAUCCUUUGAUCCCCGGAGGACCACCAGUGGCGAAGGCUGCUGACUAGAACACGUCUGACGGUCAGGGACGAAAGCUGGGGUAGCGAACCGGAUUAGAUACCCGGGUAGUCCCAGCCGUAAACGAUGCAUGCUAGGUGUUGGGUUGGCCACGAGCCACCCCAGUGCCGCAGGGAAGCCGUUAAGCAUGCCGCCUGGGAAGUACGAUCGCAAGAUUGAAACUUAAAGGAAUUGGCGGGGGAGCACCACCAGGCGUGAAGCCUGCGGUUUAAUUGGAUUCAACGCCGGAAAGGGC